RNAcentral lists this ribosomal RNA (265 nucleotides) under uncultured archaeon. Its description in RNAcentral is "partial 16S ribosomal RNA". It matches the Rfam family "Archaeal small subunit ribosomal RNA", at positions 719 to 982 of the family's 1478-position model. The record is from RNAcentral.
ACAGUCACACAUUAGAUACCCGUGUAGUCCUGGCCGUAAACGAUGUGGACUUGGUGUUGGAAUGGCUCCGAGCUGCUCCAGUGCCGGAGAGAAGUUGUUAAGCCUGCUGCUUGGGGAGUAUGUCCGCAAGGAUGAAACUUAAAGGAAUUGGCGGGGGAGCACCGCAACGGGAGGAGCGUGCGGUUCAAUUGGAUUCAACGCCGGACAACUCACCAGGAGCGACGGUUACAUGAAGGCCAGGCUGAUGACCUUGCCUGAUUUUCCG